AGUGGGCCUGGUGGUUUAUACACAAGAGUAAUUUGUUCCGACCAUUUCAAAAACGAGGAUUUUCGCAAUCGCAAUUUGCCUUCACAAGGUUUACUAAGGGGUGUUGUACCAACUCAAAACCUUCCUGCUUCGAAGAGCAAUACCAACCAGCGUAAAAGCCCAAAGAAAAGACAACUGCACAGCUGUCCCACUGUAGAUGAGCCAUGCGAACUGAAAGACUUGUCUUUGGAAUCAGAAAUUCUUCCUGAUGCCAGAAUCCCAAAGCGUAGGAGGAUGAAUGUUGACCUCGAAAUCAAAUCACUGCAGCAGAAAUUACGGCGAGCCCAGAAAACGGUUUGUAGACAGCGGAGACUAAUACGGGCAAUUAGGGAAGAAAAAUCUGCUUUGGAGGAACAAG
Long non-coding RNA from Bacillus rossius redtenbacheri, 397 nucleotides. RefSeq lists it as uncharacterized. Lineage: Eukaryota; Metazoa; Arthropoda; Insecta; Phasmatodea; Bacillidae. The record is from RefSeq and is a predicted model, not a curated record. The transcript is spliced from 3 exons.